UACAGAGGUCUCGAGCGUUGUUCGGAUUCAUUGGGCGUAAAGGGUGCGUAGGUGGUAUGGUAAGUCGGAUGUGAAAUCCCGGGGCUCAACCCCGGAACUGCAUUCGAUACUGCCGUGCUUGAGUACUGGAGAGGAGAUCGGAAUUUACGGUGUAGCAGUGAAAUGCGUAGAUAUCGUAAGGAAGACCAGUGGCGAAGGCGGAUCUCUGGACAGUUACUGA
This 220-nucleotide ribosomal RNA is filed under the name uncultured bacterium. Its description in RNAcentral is "partial 16S ribosomal RNA". It matches the Rfam family "Bacterial small subunit ribosomal RNA", at positions 524 to 743 of the family's 1533-position model. The record is from RNAcentral.